This 81-nucleotide transfer RNA is filed under the name Kitasatospora griseola. It matches the Rfam family "tRNA". From Rfam's summary of the family: Transfer RNA (tRNA) molecules are approximately 80 nucleotides in length. Their secondary structure includes four short double-helical elements and three loops (D, anti-codon, and T loops). Lineage: Bacteria; Bacillati; Actinomycetota; Actinomycetes; Kitasatosporales; Streptomycetaceae. The record is from Rfam by way of RNAcentral.
GCCCGCGUGGUGGAAUCUGGUAGACACACUGCGCUUAGAACGCAGCGCUCCGGCGUGGGGGUUCGAAUCCCCCCGUGGGUA